RNAcentral lists this ribosomal RNA (470 nucleotides) under uncultured bacterium. RNAcentral describes it as "partial 16S ribosomal RNA". It matches the Rfam family "Bacterial small subunit ribosomal RNA", at positions 355 to 816 of the family's 1533-position model. The record is from RNAcentral.
UGGGGAAUUUUGGACAAUGGGGGCAACCCUGAUCCAGCAAUGCCGCGUGUGUGAAGAAGGCCUUCGGGUUGUAAAGCACUUUUGUCCGGAAAGAAAACGCCGUGGUUAAUACCCGUGGCGGAUGACGGUACCGGAAGAAUAAGCACCGGCUAACUACGUGCCAGCAGCCGCGGUAAUACGUAGGGUGCAAGCGUUAAUCGGAAUUACUGGGCGUAAAGCGUGCGCAGGCGGUCCGCUAAGACAGAUGUGAAAUCCCCGGGCUUAACCUGGGAACUGCAUUUGUGACUGGCGGGCUAGAGUAUGGCAGAGGGGGGUAGAAUUCCACGUGUAGCAGUGAAAUGCGUAGAGAUGUGGAGGAAUACCGAUGGCGAAGGCAGCCCCCUGGGCCAAUACUGACGCUCAUGCACGAAAGCGUGGGGAGCAAACAGGAUUCAGAUACCCUGGUAGUCCACGCCCUAAACGAUGUCAAC